RNAcentral lists this ribosomal RNA (725 nucleotides) under uncultured bacterium. Its description in RNAcentral is "bacterial SSU rRNA". It matches the Rfam family "Bacterial small subunit ribosomal RNA", at positions 1 to 742 of the family's 1533-position model. The record is from RNAcentral.
AGUACCUUUGUCACUAGACUCAAUAUAUAGCUAGGUCCGUGGUGCAUGCAUGAAUGUAGCAAUACAUUUGAUGGCGACCGGCAAACGGGUGCGGAACACGUACACAACCUUCCUAUAAGUGGGGAAUAGCCCAGAGAAAUUUGGAUUAAUACCCCGUAACAUAACGAUGUGGCAUCACAUUGUUAUUAUAGCUUCGGCGCUUAUUGAUGGGUGUGCGGCUGAUUAGAUAGUUGGCGGGGUAGCGGCCCACCAAGUCUACGAUCAGUAGCUGAUGUGAGAGCAUGAUCAGCCACACGGGCACUGAGACACGGGCCCGACUCCUACGGGAGGCAGCAGUAAGGAAUAUUGGUCAAUGGACGCAAGUCUGAACCAGCCAUGCCGCGUGAAGGAUUAAGGUCCUCUGGAUUGUAAACUUCUUUUAUCUGGGACGAAAAAAGGCGAUUCUUCGUCACUUGACGGUACCAGAUGAAUAAGCACCGGCUAACUCCGUGCCAGCAGCCGCGGUAAUACGGAGGGUGCAAGCGUUAUCCGGAUUCACUGGUUUAAAGGGUGCGUAGGCGGGCAGGUAAGUCAGUGGUGAAAUCCUGGAGCUUAACUCCAGAACUGCCAUUGAUACUAUCUGUCUUGAAUAUUGUGGAGGUAAGCGGAAUAUGUCAUGUAGCGGUGAAAUGCUUAGAUAUGACAUAGAACACCUAUUGCGAAGGCAGCUUACUACGCAUAUAUUG